Molecule: transfer RNA, 65 nt
Filed under: Dybowskyia reticulata
Lineage: Eukaryota; Metazoa; Arthropoda; Insecta; Hemiptera; Pentatomidae
Description: tRNA-Tyr
Source: RNAcentral
GAUAGGGUGACUGAAUUAUAGGUAAUAAAUUGUAAAUUUAUUUAUGGCUUUAUGGCCCCUUAUCA